Long non-coding RNA from Corythoichthys intestinalis (scribbled pipefish), 7901 nucleotides. RefSeq lists it as uncharacterized. Lineage: Eukaryota; Metazoa; Chordata; Actinopteri; Syngnathiformes; Syngnathidae. The transcript has 7 exons. The record is from RefSeq and is a predicted model, not a curated record.
CCGAGGUCCGGAUUUAGUGAACCCUGCUGUAGAGCUACCUUGAAUCCUGUUGAGGGUGGCACUUGUUGCCUAACAUGUGCUUAUUCCAAUCCUUGUAUGAUGUGCAUCCACACUAUUGCCAAGUAUUGGCUCACUUGAUUUAACUCUCAUAAGUUAAGAGGCAUUAUUUAUUUAGUAUUCUCUCUUACCAAUACUGAAUUGUGAAACAAAAAGACCUUAUUCUUACUUUUACAAAAUAAGUAAGUCCUUUGUCCCGAGCUGUUAUGGUUUUUCUUAAACCUAUCCAUAAUAUUUUGGGAGGUUGAAAGCAGAUUUUGUUGUGUACAAUUUUCACCACCAGAUAACAGAUUUUCCAUUCAAAACGAUUGGGCCAACAUUCCACCAAUAAAUCCAGCUCCAAUCCAUUGGUUAUAGAUAUGUAUAUUUCAAUGUUUCAAAGUACUUUUCAUAUUUUAUCCUGAUAUUAUGUGAUAUAUAUAUUUUUUAUGAACCAUUACUAUUUCAAUGUUCACACUUUCACUUUAUCAGCCAAUUUACUCAUGAUGCGACAAUGUACUGAAGGAAAAUGUUUUUUUUUUUUUCCUGAAAUACUAAUAGUAGACAAGAAAGGUUCUAUUGUAUGGAGGACCAAAGCUGCCAAAAUUAAAAAUAAAAGUAAUUAAAAAUGAAUCAAUAAAAGGCAAAAUAUAAACGACUAUAAAAACAAAAUAAAAAAUAGGAUGCAAAAAUUAAAAAUAAAUACAAAAAAAUAUAUGGAAAUAGCUACUUAAAUAAAAGAAAUAAAAAUGAAUAUAUAUACUAAAAUAAGAAAUUACAUUAAAAAUGUAAGAAUACAAAAAUAAAUAUAUUGACUGAAAUAAAUAAAAGCGCUUUGCCUUAUAUUUACUUGUCAUCACGACCGUGCAAGUGGAAAUACUAUUCAAAUGAGGAGGCGUUCCUACGGGUGCAAUGGGUUGAACCAGAGCCAUUUCAAGAGUCGCGACUCUGUUCUCGCCGCGGGUGGUCACGUGGUUCAUGUAGUUCCAAACACAAGCAGCGCUGUCGUGGUUUGCAAUGGAACUGACAGCGGUAAUUGCGACAUUUGUGGAAAAAUGGAUCAAAUCACGUAUCUAAGUACUUGUUUGAUUAUGUCAUUGCAUUAUGACAUAUAUCUAAGGGCUAGUUUUACAUUUGGAGUGGUCAGGCGACAAUUGAGAACUAUGUAAACUAACACAGAAGGGAACUUUCUCAUGUUAUGGAGUGAACAUGUCAUGUUGAUGUUAGCAUGAGCACGGGAAAUCGACUUUUACAUUGAAAUACUAGAUGACUAUGGUUUUUCAUUUUUCACAACUAAAAUACUGUUUUUCCAGAAAAUUUCUAGAUUUCCUUGAUUCACCUACCUGUGGUAAUAUAUUAAAGAUGACCCCAUGUAUAACAUAUUUUGUUCCUUAGUUCUAAGUGGUAGUUUAAAGUUUGUUUUCUCGUAUUGACAUAUAAAAACAUUUGUUUCCCCAAAAAUUUGGGUUUGUGGUCACGGCUUUUAAAUUCUAUUUUCCACUUUUCUUUCCUGUUGCACUUUCAAAUGCUUACAUAUAUGUGUGAGUACAUUUUCCAUUUUAUAGACUUAGUUUGACCUGAAACACAAACAAAUGACAUUUAACAGUGCAAAACAACUAAAUUUUGAAUAUAGCCUCUAAUUUUAGCAAAACCAAACCUGUACUUCUUUAGAGGCAUUUUUCAUUUUGGAACCAAGCAACACAAAAUGAUUACAAGACAGGAAAAACAUUUUAUGAUUUUCCUCAACAUGGUGUAAUGUAUAACAAUAACAACUUAUUACCUUUGAUCAAGAAAAUCACAAUAUUUAUUGAAAAAUUGGUGAAAUUGGUGACAUGGUUCAUUGUUUACACCUAACAUUUUAUAGAUCAGUGGACUGUGAUGGUUUGUGUGCAGCAUGGUUUCCCCAAGGACCAAGAGCAGCAGAAAAAAAUGGAUGCCAAUGGUCAGUCGUCAAAACAUGAAAAAAAUGCUUUUUUUUUUUUUUGUUUGUUUGUUUGUUGCCAUUUAAAAAAUGGUCUUAGUGCGCACAACCAGCAGUCACCAUCAGCAGGCACCACCAGCAGCAUGAUGUCCAUCCAUCCAUCAUCUUCCACUUGCUGUGGGGUCCGGUCGCGGGGGCAGCAGCUUUAACAGGGAAGCCCAGACUUCCCUCUCCCCAGCCACUUCAUCCAGCUCCUCCGGCGAGGUCCCAAGGCGUUCCCAGGCCAGCCGAGACACAGUCUCUCCAGCGUGUCCUGGGUCGUGACUAUAGGUUAGGGUAGGAACGUAGACCGACAGCAGCAUGAUGUGGAUCAUGAAAAAGUAACCUAAAAUAAUAAUAUACAUUACUUUUUUUAAAUAAAUGUGUAUUAUUUGUUGACAUAACUUUUCAAUCUAUGCACAUCUCUAAAAUAUAAUAAUGUCAAACAUUUUGGUGUAAAGAAUACAGGUUGUCAUGCAUUGACUUGUUACUCUUUUAUGAGGGGGAUACCUUACUUCAAAGCUUACAAAAUGGAGCUAAUAAGCCGGUCGUCGACCAAUACUCACAAAUACAGAUGAGUGUGUACGUCACAAAGGGCCUCUGAAAGAGUUAACAACUUAAAAGAGGUAGGGACAAUGAAUUUACCCCUGACGAUACAUUCCUAGUUAGCAGACUCAGCUUAAAAAGUAGCAGAACAUCGCUCGUCAACCAAGAUAAAAUAUAUGUAUAAUUACGCUACGCAUCUACAAAUAAAGCUCAACAUAUACAUCAUAAAGCGCCUCUGAUAGAAUACAGACUGUUGAAAAUUCAAAAGGGAUCGUUUUUUUCACCAACUUACCUCCGAAUAUACUUUACAGCCAGCCAUUCGUAUGAAUGCGGUCCGCUCUCGUCGAAGCCAUGUUUGGAACUACACGAGGCUCCGUAACCCGGAAGUACCCGGAAGUAAAAUCGUGUAAUGGAUCUCUAUGGGAGUGUCGUAACCCUCUUUCUAAGGCCCUGGGUUGAACUAUUCGCUUAUUGGUUGAUCGACAUUCUGAAAUCUACUAGUCAUGCCUGCCACCGAAGACGUGACUUUACAGUUAGCGAUUUAGCCGACCUACAUGGUGUGAAGUGAGAGAAUAUCCACCGUUGAAUGUCACAGCAUGGUAUAAGAGUUUCUGACCUGAAUAAUUCCACUGACAUCGCAACGUUGGAUGCUGGAUGAUUACAGAGAUCCCAGGAUCUCCUCAAAAUUCUGGGUUCAAAAUGAUGCAAGGACAAAGGUUCAAAACUUCGCGUGCAAGAAUCCAUGCGACGUCUGGAUCCACCGGGAAUUGUCCGCACACUACAACUACAAACUGUUCGGCGUAGAACAUAUUCUGUGCCAGCCCCCAACAGUCAAAGGCAUAUCUAUGGCAACCAUAAACUCAUAAAUUAAGGCUCUAUGUUGGGGAACUAGGAAGGAAGUACAAAAAUAAAUCAAGACCAUAUUUUUUUCACCCAUUUUGGAAAGAAAACGUUGCCAGUCUAUGAAUCCAGGGACUUGGAAAGAGAGGAUUGGAACAAAAAUACAGGGUUUUCCGGAACAGCCAUAUGGGAAUGACUGUGGCAUCUUCAUGUUGAUGGGACUUCGAGAUACAGCUUGAAGUUUCAAAGCAAACAAAAAGAUGGGUUGCCUGGAGGAGUUACGAGCCAACAACGCAGACAUUCUGACAGAAUUUGGAGGCGCAUGUCCUGGAAAGACUGCAGGAUUCAUCGGUGAAGUUUGCUGAUCCAGACUUUUAUUUCAAGCCUCCAACUACAAUUCCCCAGGCAUCAAAAGGCCUGAUAAAGAAAGUCAUUUUACAUGUCAGUAGAUUUAAAAAAUAAUUAGGCUGACAUUUUCCUUUUUUCUUUUUGAUAGAUAUUUUUGAAUGUACUAUAAUAAAAAAAAAAACAUAUUGUCUUAUUUGUGAAAUGUGAAGGUUUAAAAGAUCGAAAGUUUCUGGGUAUAUACUGUAGGAGUUGUACUUAGAACUAUUGCAGAGCAUCUUCAGUUUCCCUAAAACCAUUGUAGUUCCCACUGACAGAAGUGCACUUGUCACGGAUGCAGGAGACGACACAUGAUGGAAGAACACGUCGCUGGCCUCUUCCCAGAUGUUUGCCUUUCAACGCCCACUCAAGAACAACCCUAUAUGCAACCAAUCGGAGUUGCCUAAAACAACAAAACCAUAAUACAGGGUGAUUAAAAAAGAAAGUGCCAAAAUCAUCAUGUGAUAGAUCAAAAAAUUAUAUAUAUUAUUUAAAAAAGUUACAGAACUCUAGCUUGGACACAUGUUCAAUAUUCCCAACAAAUAAGCAGCACGAUUCAAAAUGAGGGGGAAAAAGUAGCGGCUUAUAGUCCGCAAAUUACUUAAAGGGGAAGUUCAGAUUUUUUGACAUCAGGCUUACUCUUCGAGUUAGGGGGGGUUAAAUGGUCAGUGGAGUUGAUUUCAAAAUAUUCCGUGUCGUUUGUUAGUCUUCUAUUAUUCUUCAGGGCUCCGGAGUGAUUAUGCUAAUGCAAGUCAAUAUGGCCAAUUAGCAUGCGAAUAAAAAACGAUAUUCACAGAUCUAACAUUGUCAAAUAAAUUCAAAACGCAGCUCGAUGUUCAAAAACCCCCUGCAGCCAAAACAAUGUCUCACCAAACUGCCGUAAUUCAUUUAAUUCUGCGGGACUAUUUUUCCAUAUGCGUAACGGCACCACAACAGAGGAGUGCUAUGGCCACUCGCAUUCACCUUGGUCUGCUAUGCAGAGUGUUCACGGAAGGACGUCAACAUGGUGAAAUGUGCUUUUAGAAGCUGUGGAAACAUACAGAAGAAACGGACAAAGGAAAGUUUCCACCGCUUGCCUGUGAUGGACGAGGAACUAUAUAAAAUGUGGUUACUCUGCUGGAUAUGACAUACACACACACCGGUGGAAAAGUACUGCUUUGGAGUAUUUGCAGCGCCCAUUUUCAUUGGUAUCCUCUCCUGUUACCCAAUUGCUGUGCCUUCGAGUGUCCAAACGUCUUCAAGAGCUUCCGAUAAACAGGUAAAAAAAAAAAAAAAAAAAUCAUAUAUGAAAAUAUAUCACAUAUAUGUGCAUGCACACCUCGAUAUCGCAGCUCGCGUUAGUGAGGCUUGUAACAAACGCCAUGCAUAUUUAUGGUUCGCGUUUUUAAAUUGGAAACAAUGGUCAAUGUUCUGUCCAAUAUCUCACGAAGUGCAUUUUUCCUUCGUGCUAUUAUUUAAACAGCCGUUUGACAGGAAGGAAGUACUGUGGCUGCCAUUUUUGUAUUAUUUUAGUCAAUCCGUCGUUUGGUGAGAGCUGGUUGUGUUGUUUGUACCUUCGAAGGGAUCGUCUUUUCACUCCGAUUCAUUUUUGGAUGCGACAGUGCAGCACAAUAAAGCAUCUGGAGCUCGGACGCUACCUCCCUCCCGUAUUCAUUUUGAAUGGAGUUUAGCUGACUUUACACUUGUGUUCACUCACUCACACACACACACACACCCCUACACACACACACACGCACACACACACACACAAGGGGAACAGUACAGUCAAUUUCCAGAUCACCAUCCCGAAUGCAGUAAAUCCUUCCACUUCGGAUUUGGUUUACGAAUCGUUCGUAGGUUAUGUGCGUGAGCAACCGCCGUUUUUUGCACACUCCCACACACAGACACGUACUCUGACUCUUCCUCAUUGGGACUAGUAGUCGGUAGUAUGUAAAUACCGGUAAUCAAUAUGUCAAUCAUACAAUUUUUUUUUUACCUUUACUAUUUGCCCCAGACACCUCAGCCAAUCAGUUAAUGAAGGGUUAUUUAUAAUAAAGAUUGUGAGUGAACUGGGGGAUAUUGGAAUACUUUAUCACUUUCAUGAAAAAUUGAGAAGAAACCUUUUGAGCGUACAGAGUGAUAACUUGGUUUUCUAUGUCCUUAGAUAAGUGACACCUACCUAGCUUGUAAUAAAUAAAGGAAUAAACCAAGAAGUAAUCUCCGAUUUGGUCUUUGGGAAAGCGUUGAACAGCGCUCCUAAAUACGAUUUAAGAAAUAAUUCUAAAACUUUUUUGCUGAACAUGACAUUCCAAGAAAUUUUUUUUUAGAUAUUAGGGUUUGCCUUAUUCCGUGGUGCGGUUGUGUCUACAACACAGGCUUAUUAUUAUGACACAUCUAACAAGCUACUUUUUACUGUGAUCUUUAGGUGACCUGGAGAUGCUUUAUGUACACCCAGAAGAGGCUUCACUUUGUUUUCAACUCCAUGAAGGCAAGGGCGCCAGCAAGCGAGGAAUGCUGAUGGGACUUCGAGAUACAGCUUGGAGUUUCCAACGCAAACAAAAAGAUGGGUUGCCCGGAGGAGUUACGAGCCAACAACGCAGACAUUCUGACAGAAUUUGGUGGCGCAUGUCCUGGAAAGACUGCAGGGUUCAUCAGUGAAGUUUGCUGAUCCAGACUUUUAUUUCAAGCCUCCAACUACAGUUCCCCAGGCAUCAAAAGGCCUGAUAAAGAAAGUCAUUUUACAUGUCAGUAGAUUUAAAAAAUAAUUAGGCUGACAUUUUCCUUUUUUCUUUUUAAUAGAUAUUUUUGAAUGUACUAUAAUAAUAAUUAAAAAAAAACACAUAUUGUCUUAUUUGUGAAAUGUGAAGGUUUAAAAGAUCAAAAGUUUCUGGGUAUGUAGGAGUUGUACUGAGAAUAAUUGCAAAGCAUCUUCAGUUUCCCUAAAACCAUUGUAGUUCCCAAUGCCACAAGUGCACUUGUCACGGAUGCAGGAGACGACACAUGAUGGAAGAACACGUCGCUGGCCUCUUCCCAGAUGUUUGCCUUUCAACGCCCACUCAAAAACAACCCUAUAUGCCACCAAUCGGAGUUGCCUAAAACAACAAAACCAUAAUACAGGGUGAUUAAAAAAGAAAGUGCCAAAAUCAUCAUGUGAUAGAUCAAAAAAUUAUAUACAUUAUUUAAAAAAGUUACAGAACUCUAGCUUGGACACAUGUUCAAUAUUCCCAACACAUAAGCAGCACUCUACUAUAUGCAGCUGGAUUCAAAAUGAGGGGUAAAAAAGUAGCGGCUUAUAGUCCGCAAAUUACGUAACUUCAAGUUUUUAAAUCAAGUGCUCUUGUGCACUUUGAGAUUUGUUUUCCAAAUGUAAAGUGCGUUAUAAAUAAAAUGCAUUAUGCUCUAAGGGGACAAUCACCGGCAAUUGAAAUACAUGAAAUAAUACUUGAAGUUAUGUUCAACACAUUUGCCUAUGUCAGUUUUAUGUUUUUAAUUUUUGACAUAUUGCGUGAUAAUUUAGGCACAUCCUUGUAAAUAAUUGCCAUACUGCUACUGCUUUUUAUAUUGACAUGCUUUUACUCUCACAAUGCAUUACUGUUGGGAUGAUAUAGCUGCUUUCCUGAAGUAGAACUAUGCUUAGAGUAUACGAAUAUUCGCCCAGCGACAAAAUAAAGCAUGCAGGACUCCACUUACCUCAUUGAUAGCUGCCUGUUUUUUUCCAGUUGGUCUUGUCUACGAAGAAAAAAGUUUCAAGAACACCUUUGUUGAGAAGUGGGAAAAAGUCUUGGUGUUCACUUGCAACCAUUUAUUGAGUUCUGAAAACAGUUCAGCUCCAAUUCUUCCCUGCAUUUUGGGGGCGGGAAGUCGCUUCGUUGCCACAAAAAAGAAAAGAAAAAAAAAAGCGGUGAAAAGACCAAUGUGAUAUCCCUCCGCGCAGCCAGCUCGUUCUCUUCUCUGCAAGGCAACUGAAUUACUAAUGUUGCUGUUCUUACUGCAGUUAUUGACAUACAAUGGUAAGUUUUAAUAACUUUAUCCUGAAAACAUAGCCAACACUAUUGAUUGCAUGCGUCAUCGGUGAUUCUCCUAUGUGCAUAUGUUGUUUUCAUGAGCAUGCUAAUUGGCCAUAUUGACUUGCAUUAGCAUAGCCACUCCGGCGCCC